ACGAACGCUGGCGGCGUGCUUAACACAUGCAAGUCGAACGGAAAGGCCCUGCUUUUGCGGGGUGCUCGAGUGGCGAACGGGUGAGUAACACGUGAGUAACCUGCCCUUGACUUUGGGAUAACUUCAGGAAACUGGGGCUAAUACCGGAUAGGAGCUCCUGCUGCAUGGUGGGGGUUGGAAAGUUUCGGCGGUUGGGGAUGGACUCGCGGCUUAUCAGCUUGUUGGUGGGGUAGUGGCUUACCAAGGCUUUGACGGGUAGCCGGCCUGAGAGGGUGACCGGCCACAUUGGGACUGAGAUACGGCCCAGACUCCUACGGGAGGCAGCAGUGGGGAAUAUUGCACAAUGGGCGGAAGCCUGAUGCAGCAACGCCGCGUGCGGGAUGAAGGCCUUCGGGUUGUAAACCGCCUUCGCCUGUGACGAAGCGUGAGUGACGGUAAUGGGUAAAGAAGCACCGGCUAACUACGUG
This 467-nucleotide ribosomal RNA is filed under the name uncultured bacterium. Its description in RNAcentral is "partial 16S ribosomal RNA". It matches the Rfam family "Bacterial small subunit ribosomal RNA", at positions 29 to 507 of the family's 1533-position model. The record is from RNAcentral.